AUGUCUAGGGUUCGUGGCGUGGAAGGACGCAUAUGACGGCGAUACUGGCGCAGCAUCUAAUGUGAGCCGUUUCCGAAGUUGGCUACUCCCUCAACUUAAGCAUAUCAAUAGGGGACGGAGAAGAAACAAACAUGGAUUCCCCUAGUAGUGGCGAAUGAAGCGGGAGCUGUCCGGAUGGCAAGCCGGUAGGCGUUGUAGACAGAUGUAACGAAGUGGCAUGGAAGUGCACACGACACAGGGUGAGAGUCCCGUCGUACCUAUAGUAGGAGAGAGUAACGCUGCUUGGUACUGCAGCGCGAAGGGGUGGUUGGACCAUCCAAGACUAAAUAUACGCGAACACCGAUAGUGGACAAGUACUGCGAAGGAAAGACGACAGCUCAUGAGGGCUGAUGAUUGAAAUCAGGAGCACGGAAGGCAAUUGAUUGCACCCGUCUUGAAACACGGACC
This is a ribosomal RNA of 447 nucleotides. The stretch from base 63 to 447 matches the Rfam family "Eukaryotic large subunit ribosomal RNA", at positions 1 to 667 of the family's 3401-position model.